CGGGAUAUGGCGUAGUCUGGUAGCGCACCUGCUUUGGGAGCAGGAUGUCGGGGGUUCAAAUCCCUCUAUCCCGA
This 74-nucleotide transfer RNA is filed under the name Johnevansia muelleri (SeqCode). Its description in RNAcentral is "Candidatus Johnevansia muelleri tRNA-Pro (TGG) (tRNA-Pro-TGG-1-1)". It matches the Rfam family "tRNA". Rfam says of the family: Transfer RNA (tRNA) molecules are approximately 80 nucleotides in length. Their secondary structure includes four short double-helical elements and three loops (D, anti-codon, and T loops). Further hydrogen bonds mediate the characteristic L-shaped molecular structure. tRNAs have two regions of fundamental functional importance: the anti-codon, which is responsible for specific mRNA codon recognition, and the 3' end, to which the tRNAs corresponding amino acid is attached (by aminoacyl-tRNA synthetases). tRNAs cope with the degeneracy of the genetic code in two manners: having more than one tRNA (with a specific anti-codon) for a particular amino acid; and 'wobble' base-pairing, i.e. permitting non-standard base-pairing at the 3rd anti-codon position. Lineage: Bacteria; Pseudomonadati; Pseudomonadota; Gammaproteobacteria; Johnevansiales (SeqCode); Johnevansiaceae (SeqCode). The record is from Rfam by way of RNAcentral.